AUAAAUUCAAAAAAUUUUUUUUUGGUAUCAAAUCGGUCGCAAAUCGGUCGCAAAAAUGAAAAAGGAAAUAAAAAAAAUUAAAUAUUAUUUUGAAACCAAAAUUUUUCUACACCUGUGAAAGUUGACAUAAAUGCAUAUAUACACACACGCAAUUCAAGAACAGUAUAAAAAUGUAAUUUUUAUUGUUCUGAACAAAUUAAAAAAUGAAAAUACAAAUGAAAAAAUAAAAGGUCGGAAAUCAAAUCUAUAUAUGCU
This 255-nucleotide long non-coding RNA is filed under the name Jatropha curcas. RNAcentral's name for it is "long non-coding RNA (JCUR_LNC000290)". Lineage: Eukaryota; Viridiplantae; Streptophyta; Magnoliopsida; Malpighiales; Euphorbiaceae. The record is from RNAcentral.